ACUGCUAGAACCUGGCCUCUGGCCAU
Molecule: non-coding RNA, 26 nt
Filed under: Cricetulus griseus (Chinese hamster)
Lineage: Eukaryota; Metazoa; Chordata; Mammalia; Rodentia; Cricetidae
Source: RNAcentral